GACAGUCGGCAGCAGUUAGCAGUCAGUCGUCGCUUGUGAAGGCGCCUCGCCAAAUGUUGCAAAAAAGCGGACACGCGACGUAUACGUAACGUUACAACGUGCCCGUGCAAUUCGUGUGUUGAGGGCGCGCGCGAAUAAAGGCAAAUUGAUGUCGAAUGCUAAGUGAUUGCAGUUUAUCAGCAUGCGCAGAAAAAGGAAAAACAAA
Molecule: long non-coding RNA, 205 nt
Organism: Drosophila innubila
Lineage: Eukaryota; Metazoa; Arthropoda; Insecta; Diptera; Drosophilidae
Exons: 2
Source: RefSeq, a predicted model, not a curated record